Molecule: long non-coding RNA, 611 nt
Filed under: Salvia miltiorrhiza (redroot sage)
Lineage: Eukaryota; Viridiplantae; Streptophyta; Magnoliopsida; Lamiales; Lamiaceae
Description: long non-coding RNA (SMIL_LNC010273)
Source: RNAcentral
CUUCACAAAGUACAUACACAAUAGUGUGGCCUAAAUGUUUUGAGUUCCACAAGCCCAAAAUAUGGAUACAAAAUACCAAAAACUAACUGAUGCCGAAGUAUUAACCUAACCAACAUUUUACUUUCGACGUCCAGCCAUAUACAACUCGGCACAAAUAGACUUUCGGUACCGCCCCAUGUCAAGCCCAGCAAGCUCACUAAUAUCAGUGGAAGAUAUAAUGCACUGAACAAAUUUCAAUGCAAAUAUCCCACAAUCAUGAUUGUUUACCUGCUGUGGGCAAUUCGGCACAAGGUCCAGACUCCAUUUUGCCUUGUAUGGUGGUGGGAUAUUUUUGUGCUUGAAGACCUCACACAUGUCACAGACGAUUGGUAGGUUUUUGAGCACAUUUUCGAACUGCCGCUCCACUGGAUAUGCACCGCGCAUUGAAUCAAAUACACGAACCGUUUGGCCUUCGAAAUCUAGUUGAUACGCAACCCAAUGUUGGUUGUCGAUGUUCCCUACGCCGACAACAGCAGAUGCUUGCCACCAUGGCGUACCACUGAACCAAGGCCGAGAGCCUUCCACGUAGGGCCUCACCUUCUUAUCCAAGCAUUGACGAAUGUCGGCCUCGC